AACGAACGCUGGCGGCAUGCCUAACACAUGCAAGUCGAACGAGACCUUCGGGUCUAGUGGCGCACGGGUGCGUAACGCGUGGGAACCUGCCCUUAGGUUCGGAAUAACUCCCCGAAAGGGGUGCUAAUACCGGAUAAUGUCUUCGGACCAAAGAUUUAUCGCCUUUGGAUGGGCCCGCGUUGGAUUAGCUGGUUGGUAGGGUAAAAGCCUCCCAAGGCGACGAUCCAUAGCUGGUCUGAGAGGAUGAUCAGCCACACUGGGACUGAGACACGGUCCAGACUCCUACGGGAGGGAGCAGUGGGGAAUAUUGGAAUAUGGGCGAAAGCCUGAUCCAGCACUGACGCGUGAGUGAUGAAGGCCUUAGGGUUGUAAAGCUCGUUUACCCGGGAUGGUAAUGACAGUACCGGGAGAAUAAGCUCCGGCUAACUCCGUG
RNAcentral lists this ribosomal RNA (433 nucleotides) under uncultured bacterium. Its description in RNAcentral is "partial 16S ribosomal RNA". It matches the Rfam family "Bacterial small subunit ribosomal RNA", at positions 29 to 507 of the family's 1533-position model. The record is from RNAcentral.